Long non-coding RNA from Pan troglodytes (chimpanzee), 3452 nucleotides. RefSeq lists it as uncharacterized. The record is from RefSeq and is a predicted model, not a curated record. NCBI's taxonomy places the organism in Eukaryota, Metazoa, Chordata, Mammalia, Primates, Hominidae. The transcript has 3 exons.
ACUGUUUUUUUUUUUCAAUAGAAACCUGCAACCUAGGGAAAACUAGGGAAAAGAUGAUAGUCUGACUGCUGCUUGCACAAAUAGCAGGGAGGCCUUUCUUUAGUACAAUGGACUGACAAUGAGCAUAGUUUUUGUAAGGAUGUGAAAAUUCUGGUGGAGAGAGAACUGAUUGAUCUGCACCCCUGCCCUGAUAGAAGAGCUGGAAUAACAAGUUACGAAAUACAACCAUCAUCACAGCUGAGAAGGAUGUGAGAGCCGAUUCUGCACUGCAAUCACCAGCUCACAGCACUUAGUUGAAUGUCUCCUCUCCUCCAAAACCAGAGCCAAGGCCAUCAGCAGAACCCUCAAAGUCAUCUGAGAUGAGAUACUGCAGGAUUAAAUAUGAACUUUUCCUCAAAGGUUUGAUGGAUCAAAGUUAUAGUGUCUUCAGCAAUUUUUAUCCAAUUAUAGUUUGAAGAGUUAAGCUAUAACUUAAACUUAUAUUUAAGCAAAACCAGCAUAAGUGAAAAAAAGUACCACUUCAAAACAGAUUCAAAAACAAGAAAUAGAACAAAAGCUUAAGAACUUUUGCUAAAAAUUAUCUCCCUUUCUGCAACCACUUGGAAGAAAAGGGGGUAAAACAUAACGAUAAAAUGUUAAUUACUUGGAACACAUUUAACCAGACUUUUCAAUCAUUUGGAUCAUUUUUUGCCUUUUGGUUAUUUUUGGACAAAUAUUUCUGCAAUUUGAAACAUAAUUUAACUCUUCUAGAACCAUGCUUCUUUGCAAUAGCAUCAAUAGUUUAGCACAAAAUUUUAAGAAGUGUAAUGCUAUGAAGAAUAGCAUAGUAAGAAAUUUUUUUUUCUGCAAACAUUCUUGGUUGUUAAAGAAAAUUGUUUUAAAACACAAGCUUGGGAGGCCGAGGCGGGCGGAUCACGAGGUCAGGAGAUCGAGACCAUCCUGGCUAACACAGUGAAACCCCGUCUCUACUAAAAAUACAAAAAAAUUUGCCAGGCGUGGUGUCGGGCAACUGUAGUCCCAGCUACUCAGGAGGCUGAGGCAGGAGAAUGGCAUGAACCCAGGAGGUGGAGUUUGCAGUGAGCCGAGAUCGUGCCACUGCACUCCAGCCUGGGCAACAGAGUGAGACCCCGACUGAAAAAAACAAAAAACAAAAAAACACAAGCUUUACCUUUGUAAACUAAGAGAUACAUAUAAAAAAGGAAAAUUUGUCAUGCAUAAAAAACCUUGGCAUAUAUAUCUGGCUACAUAUUUUUACAUAUGCAUAUUUGUAUUUUACAUAUACAUAUUUUUAUUGUGUUCCAGGAUUGAAGAGUAAUCAUAAACCCUGUGCAAAACAGAUGAGGUGACCUUAGCUUCAACCCUCCAGUUCUCUUGCAUGAUAUCUAAUUGCAAAAAUUUAUAGCAGGGUUUAAGAGCAGAUAUGGCUUAUUUAUCCAGAAACAUCUGAUUGUAUAUAAAGUCAUGAAGUAACAUUCUGUAAGCACCUGGGCACUCAGCUGGAGUAGGGGUAUGCAAGAAUCUUCUUCACCAUAUUUUCCUUAACUUGGUUUUCACGUUUCAGCCUGAGAUACAGGCUGGGGCCUUGUCUUGACCCCUAGCUCUGGUGCAUUCCAAUCCUUUGGGAGGUGAGAGCCUGACACAGGUCUGCAGAAGAUACUGCUAAGGUCAAAAGCUCUGCUUAGAGCUCAUUUUGACUGUAGGUGUUUCCAAAAAUGUAGAGCAUUUCCAAGAAUGUGGGGGCAGAAAACAUUUUAGAACUCUCUAUCUCUGUAACCAUGGAUGUGACUUAAGUAACAAUGGGUAAAGUGUAAGAACCACAAAGAAUGCCAAGUGUGGUAAAAGUAAAGGAAAACUUAGAUGCUGAAGUCAUUCCUACUCCACUUUUAAAGUAAAAGGCAUUAGGCUGGGUGCGGUGGCUCACGCCUAUUAUCCCAGCUCUCUGGGAGGCUGAGGCAGGUGGAUCACCUGAGGUCAGGAAUUAGAGACCAGCUGGGCCAACAUGGUGAAACCCCAUCUCUACUAAAAAUACAAAAAUUAGCUGGACCUGGUAGUGCAUGCUUGUAAUCCCAGCUACUCGGGAGGCUGAGGCAGGAGAAUCACUUGAACCCAGGAGGUGGAGGUUGCAGUGAGCCGCAAUCAUGCCAUUGCACUCCAGCCUGGGCGACAGAGUGAGACCCCGCCUCAAAAAAAAAAAAAAAAAAAGGGAAGGCAUGAUGAUUAUGAAAAUAAAUGGAAUUUUCAGUGAUCUCAGCAAUUUUUUAUUUCAAUUGUGAGCCAAAUGUUUAUUAUGGCAAACUUCUUUAACUGUUUUCAAAUGUCUAAUGUUUAUAUUUGAAAACUGCCUUCAUUAAGAAGGUAGUAAGAGAGUGAGGAAAUCAUAUGCAGGAUGUCUGUUUUGGUAUACGUGUGUUUUUUGAUUUUUUAAACUUACAAUUUUUAUUUUUUACAUGGAGUGGCAGAAGUAAAGAUGAGAUUAGUGUGGGAUAAAAAUUUAAAAAGCAUAUCUGAUAUGUCAUAUCAUCAGUGGUAGCUUUUAAAGUCCAAUGUUGACUUUGUGAAAUGUUUUUAUAACACUUUUUAGUGUUAAAAAUUAUGUUUAUAAAUCUAUUAUGGGUCUUUGCAAAUAGAAAUAAUGUUCAUAAUGAAAAAGUAAAACACCCUCUUUCUCUAGAGCUACACCAUGGGGUGGAUAAAGGGAUGACUCUUCUUACCUUUAAGACAGAUGCUAUCACAAAAAUAGAUUCACAGUCUAGGUGUACUUCGACUCCAGAAUUCAAUUUCUCUUUUAGUUCUCUGCAGGAUUUCACAUUGGCUGAUUGCCUGAAGAUACCUUUGGUGAGAGGUCCUUUUUGAUUAAGAAAGAAAAGCAUAUCCUAUGGGGAAGCAAAGGAAAAUAAACAAAAUGACACUUCCACACACACAAAUAAGGGAAUGUACACUUGCCCUCUUUGGAUGCCAGAGGCUAGGGUGUGCUAGGGUAAAAGCACUGAAGGAUUGGAGCUAAAUAAAUGGCCGGAAAAAUUAAAGUCACCUUUUUGGAAAGUGGAAGGGUGGUUACCAGGGGCUGGGGGUGGUGGUGAGCAGGUUGGGGAGAUGUUGGUCAAAGGAUACAAAAUUUCAGUUAGGAGGAAUAAGGUCACAUGAUCUAUUAUAUAAAAUUAUGAUUAUAGUUAAUAAUGCAUUAUAUUCCUAAAAAUUGCUCAGAGAGUGAAUUUUAAGUGUUCUCUAAUUUUCCUUUCUAUCACUACGUCCUGCUUACAGUGUAAGAAGAGAAUGGGUUUUGAAGACAAGCAAUCCAUGGGAUCCAAAACCUAGUUAUGCCACUUGGUUACUGUGUAACAUUGAGUGCAGUACUGAGGUUUUAAAACAAUUUGUAAACGGAUGAGAUGAUGACAUGAUAACAACUAUCCCCUAAAUUUGUUGUGAAGAAUAAAUAAAGUGGCUAGACAAGU